This 251-nucleotide ribosomal RNA is filed under the name uncultured bacterium. Its description in RNAcentral is "partial 16S ribosomal RNA". It matches the Rfam family "Bacterial small subunit ribosomal RNA", at positions 524 to 774 of the family's 1533-position model. The record is from RNAcentral.
UACGUAGGGGGCAAGCGUUAUCCGGAUUUACUGGGUGUAAAGGGAGCGUAGACGGCGCGGCAAGUCUGAAGUGAAAGGCAGGGGCUUAACCCCUGAACUGCUUUGGAAACUGCCAUGCUAGAGUGCUGGAGAGGUAAGUGGAAUUCCUAGUGUAGCGGUGAAAUGCGUAGAUAUUAGGAGGAACACCAGUGGCGAAGGCGGCUUACUGGACAGUAACUGACGUUGAGGCUCGAAAGCGUGGGGAGCAAACA